GAUGAAGAACGUAGCGAAAUGCGAUAAGUAGUGUGAAUUGCAGAAUUCCGUGAAUCAUCGAAUCUUUGAACGCACAUUGCGCCUUCUGGUAUUCCGGAAGGCAUGCCUGUUCGAGAGUCAUUAACAACCGUUUCGAUCCCUUUCUUUCAGAAAUUACAAAGAGGAAAAGGGUUUGGUUAUGGUGGAGGAGGGAAAGGGAGCGUUUAGCCUGUAAAAAAAGAGGCUGUGUUCCGCCUCCCCCCCAAAAUUGUACAGGCGGUCGUGUGCGCCCACGCAUCAAGGUGUUGUAAAAGCUGCCACGGCACUUUUCACCUGUGCAGUGCGAGAUUGGCCAGCCGGUUUAAAAACCCCUCCAAACAAUCAAAGGUUGACCUCGGAUCAGGUAGGGAUACCCGCUGAACUUAAGCAUAUCAAUAAGCGGAGGA
This 425-nucleotide unclassified non-coding RNA is filed under the name soil metagenome. RNAcentral describes it as "partial contains 5.8S ribosomal RNA, internal transcribed spacer 2, and large subunit ribosomal RNA". The stretch from base 1 to 120 matches the Rfam family "5.8S ribosomal RNA", at positions 35 to 154 of the family's 154-position model. The record is from RNAcentral.